GUGAAUCAUCGAAUCUUUGAACGCAAAUUGCACUCUCUGGUAUUCCGGAGAGUAUGCCUGUUUGAGGGUCAGUAAAAAUAAAAAUCGGUGUGGUUGAUGACUUUCGUGGUGAUGGAGCGGGUUUGGGUCGUGUUGGUUUUGGUUAAGUGACCGAAAACUUUGGAUGCUCUUUUUUGAACGACUUUAAAUGAUUUUGUGU
This 199-nucleotide unclassified non-coding RNA is filed under the name Glomeraceae sp. RNAcentral's name for it is "partial contains 5.8S ribosomal RNA and internal transcribed spacer 2". The stretch from base 1 to 71 matches the Rfam family "5.8S ribosomal RNA", at positions 84 to 154 of the family's 154-position model. Lineage: Eukaryota; Fungi; Glomeromycota; Glomeromycetes; Glomerales; Glomeraceae. The record is from RNAcentral.